CCUACGGGAGGCAGCAGUGAGGAAUAUUGGUCAAUGGCCGGAAGGCUGAACCAGCCAUGCCGCGUGAAGGUCAGUGCCCUAUGGGCGUUAAACUUCUUUUGUGCGGGAGCAAUAAUGGUCACGUGUGGCCAGACGAGAGUACCGUACGAAUAAGCAUCGGCUAACUCCGUGCCAGCAGCCGCGGUAAUACGGGGGAUGCAAGCGUUAUCCGGAUUUAUUGGGUUUAAAGGGUGCGUAGGCUGGGAGGUAAGUCAGCGGGGAAAUGCCCCCGCGCAACGGGGUGACGUGCCAUUGAUACUGCCUUGCUGGAAUGCGGAUGACGUGGGAGGAAUGUGUGGUGUAGCGGUGAAAUGCAUAGAUAUCACACAGAACACCGAUUGCGAAGGCAUCUCACGAAUCCGCGAUUGACGCUGAUGUACGAAAGCGUGGGUAUCAAACAGGAUUAGAUACCCUAGUAGUC
Molecule: ribosomal RNA, 460 nt
Filed under: uncultured bacterium
Lineage: Bacteria
Description: partial 16S ribosomal RNA
Rfam family: Bacterial small subunit ribosomal RNA
Source: RNAcentral